Mastomys coucha (southern multimammate mouse) is the source of this 200-nucleotide long non-coding RNA. RefSeq lists it as uncharacterized. The transcript is spliced from 3 exons. NCBI's taxonomy places the organism in Eukaryota, Metazoa, Chordata, Mammalia, Rodentia, Muridae. The record is from RefSeq and is a predicted model, not a curated record.
GGGAGGCCAGGCUCCAUUUCUUCUCGGUAACUCUGCAUUUCUCUGUAAAACCAGCACAGCCAGCACAGCUGGGAAGCAAAGAUGGGAGACUCUCCGGAGGUCUGUGGGCCAGCCAGCCUGAGGCAGCAGAUACAGACUGAAAUCUGACCUCUACACGUGUAUCUGCCUAGUAGUGAUGGUGCACACUCCUUUAAUCCCAG